RNAcentral lists this transfer RNA (91 nucleotides) under Corynebacterium tuberculostearicum SK141. RNAcentral's name for it is "tRNA-Leu". It matches the Rfam family "tRNA". Rfam says of the family: Transfer RNA (tRNA) molecules are approximately 80 nucleotides in length. The record is from RNAcentral. Lineage: Bacteria; Bacillati; Actinomycetota; Actinomycetes; Mycobacteriales; Corynebacteriaceae.
UGCCCGGGUGGCGGAAUGGCAGACGCGCUAGCUUGAGGUGCUAGUGUCCUAUUAACGGACGUGGGGGUUCAAGUCCCCCCUCGGGCACAAU